Molecule: long non-coding RNA, 2474 nt
Organism: Cercocebus atys (sooty mangabey)
Lineage: Eukaryota; Metazoa; Chordata; Mammalia; Primates; Cercopithecidae
Exons: 2
Source: RefSeq, a predicted model, not a curated record
CAGUCAGCCUGCCUCACCCCCCUCUACCGGUCAACCAGUCUCAACCUACCUGACUGGUCAGUCUGUUCCAACCUCCCCUGCUAGUUUGUUGGCCCCCCUCCGAGAAGUUGCUGGAGCUGAGGGCGUGGUUAGAGUCCAUGUCUCCUUUUCCCUGGCUGACCUUUCCAAAAUUGAAGAAUGACUCGGUGACUUCUCAGCCAACCCCACCCAAUAUUCCAGAGUUUUGAUACCUAGGCCAGGCAUAUGACCUUACCUGGCAUGACUUACAUGUCAUUCUUACUUCCACUCUUAACCCAGAGGAAAGAGAGUGCAUUCUUGCAGCCGCCAGGCAGCAUGCAGACCAGUUACACUUAACUGACCUGGCCAGCCCAGUAGGCAAACAAGCUGUCCCAUCUACAGAUCCUGAAUGGGACUACCAACCUCAACAACCCGGGCGUCGCAGAAGAGACCUUAUGAUACAAUGCCUCUUAGCUGGCAUGCAGGCAGCCUCUAACAAAAUAGUAAAUUUUAAUAAGUUACAGGAGGUUAUUCAAUACUCAGAGGAAAAUCCUGUCUCCUUUUUAAAUCGCCUUAUGGAGGCACUUCUCCAAUUUACCCGACUGGAUCCUACCCCUCCGGCAGGAGCCACUGUCCUUGCCAGUUAUUUUAUUUCCCAGUUGGCCCCUGACAUCCGAAAAAAAAAAAUUAAGAAAGGUAGAGGAUGGACCUCAAACCCCCAUUCAGGACUUAGUCACGCUAGCUUUCGAAGUUUUUAACUCUAGAGAGGAAACAGCUGAGGCUCUUCGACAAGCCAGAGUAGAAUAGAAGGCCGCCCUUCAGGCACAAGCUUUAGUGGCUGCCCUCCAACCCGUGUUGCCCACUUUGCCGGCAGGGAAAACCGGAUAUAAGUCUCUUAAGGACUCCUGCUAUAAAUGCGGAGACCCAGGACACUGGGCAAACCAGUGUCCCCAGGCCAAGCCGGCCACUCCGUCUGGUCCAUGCUUUAAGUGUGGCACAACUGGGCAUUGGGCAAAAAGGUGUCCAAAUCCUCACCUGCCUACCACGCCAUGCCCAACCUGCCAACAGGAAGGACACUGGAAGUCUGAUUGCCCCGCCAGCAGGGCAGGCAUUGCAGCUCAACGUGGUGCCUCUCCUCAAGGGUCGGAAGGCUCCUUCCAGCUCCUACACCUGGACGACGACUGACGGUGCCCACACUUGGAGACCCCGGUCACCCUCGCUGACCCCAGGGUAACUCUACAGGUAGCGGGUAAGCCAAUUUCUUUUCUCGUCAAUACGGAGGCUACCUAUUCUGUUUUACAAUUAUAUUCUGUUUUGCCAACCUACGGAGGUCCUAGCCAGCCAUCCACUAACUCAGUAGUUGGGGUAGACAGUAAACUGUCUAACCCUCGCCAGACCCCAAUGUUAAAUUACUGCCUGGACUAUGCAUGCUUUGCCCACUCUUUCCUCAUCAUGCCCUCUUGUCCCACCCCCCUCUUGGGACGAGACAUCUUAACCUAACUCAAAACAUCGAUUCCCCUUCCCUUUCUCCAGGUGACCAGCUUCUACUCAAGGAUCAACACCCUCCUCAAACUUUCCUGCUUCCUCACUAGUCUUCAUCUUAACUGAUUUUUCCCUUAUAGACCCCAUAGACACCCUCCUGCCCGACCCAUCCCCCAACCAGUGGAUUUCCUGACUUUUUACUCUCAUAAAAGACCUAGCUUGGCAGGGUGCCCUUUGUAAUUUCAGCAAUGUUGAACUUACUCUCCACAUGCUUGCCACCAUUAUUAUGGUUCACUCUAAUCCCCCUAGUUACCCCUACUAAUCCUAACUUUGUAUGCAGAUUCUCUAUAACUGAAACCUGGUCUACAGACAACCAGAUACACUCAGUCAUGCAGGGCACUGCAGAUUGUGCCCCCCCUCCAGCCAGGGUCCAAGAAAUCACCCGCAUCACCUUCAACCAGAUGCUCCUACAUCCCUACGUCCAGAUACCAACCACAGACCCUAACUACGCCCCUUAACAGCAGGAAGCAGCCAGACAGACAAUGAUGCCCCCAAUCACUAUAAUCAAUAAAAGUUUGGACUGUCUGGAUGGGAGGAGAGGACAAAGACGACUAAGAUGGCACAUUUCCGGGUUCUUCAUCACCAACUUACCCGCGCAGGAAAAUGCAGCCCACGCCCGGGAAAAAUACAGACCAACUGCGCAGGUGCAACAUGGCGUCCGAUUGAGGAAACCAAAACUUACCUGGCCACACCUAUGGAACGCCCCCGACACGCCCGUGUCCCACCUAUUGCCCUCCCACUCCCAAGCCUUAGACAGAAAAGCCGCUCCCGGCAGGCGCGCGGCAUGAACUUCCUCAGCCCCUCCUCAUAUGCGGACCUAGGAACCUCGCCCGAGAACGCCGGAGCGACUUCCUCGGCCUCCACCGCCGGAGACCGGUGAACCUCGCCCUUUCUUCCUUCACAUUGGCUAGCUAAUAAAGUUUCUUUUUACCUUG